RNAcentral lists this ribosomal RNA (776 nucleotides) under uncultured Neocallimastigales. RNAcentral describes it as "partial large subunit ribosomal RNA". It matches the Rfam family "Eukaryotic large subunit ribosomal RNA", at positions 26 to 641 of the family's 3401-position model. The record is from RNAcentral. Lineage: Eukaryota; Fungi; Neocallimastigomycota; Neocallimastigomycetes; Neocallimastigales.
CGCAUCUGUGCAUGCAGCAUAUCAAUAAGCGGAGGAAAAGGAACUAACAAGGAUUCCCCUUAGUAACGGCGAGUGAAGCGGGAAGAGCUCAAAUUUGAAAUCUUCAAGGUUUUACCUUGACGAAUUGUAGUUUAAAGAAGUGUUUUCUGCUUGAGGUUUUGGUAAAAGUUCUUUGGAAUAGGACAUCAUAGAGGGUGAGAAUCCCGUAUUUGACCAUUAUUUUCAGCUUUGUGAUACACUUUCAAAGAGUCGGAUUGUUUGGGAAUGCAGUCCAAAAUGGGUGGUAAAUUUCAUCUAAAGCUAAAUAUUGGCGAGAGACCGAUAGCGAACAAGUACCGUGAGGGAAAGAUGAAAAGAACUUUGAAAAGAGAGUUAAACAGUACGUGAAAUUGUCAAAAGGGAAGCGUUUGACACCAGUGUUGUUUUCUCGAAAAUCAAUUAAAGAACUGUUUAUGCUAAGCUGUUUAGACUUUAUCAGCUAACUGUUAAGUUUUGAGCUUUUCUUUAAUGCACUUUUCAGUUAACAAGUCAACAUCAAUUUCUUCUGCUGUAAAAAAGCUUGAGGAAGGUGGCUUGAGAUUCGUCUUAAGUGUUUAUAGCCUCUUGCCUAUGCAGUCGGAGAGAUUGAGGUCUGCAGCGUAGAUCCUUCGGGGCUAAAUGCAUUUGUGCUAAGUUAUAGCAUUUUAUAGACAACUUGUUGACUAUGAUUUGUCUUGUAGCUUACUCGCUUAUGUUAUUUUACCUACGCUUAGGAUGUUGAUAGUCACAGCGUGUAC